RNAcentral lists this ribosomal RNA (740 nucleotides) under uncultured archaeon. RNAcentral's name for it is "bacterial SSU rRNA". It matches the Rfam family "Archaeal small subunit ribosomal RNA", at positions 37 to 782 of the family's 1478-position model. The record is from RNAcentral.
GGGNCGNCUAGCCAUGCGAGUCGAGAGGGUUCGGCCCUCGGCGAACUGCUCAGUAACACGUGNGAUAAUCUAACCUUAGGUGGAGCAUAACCUCGGGAAACUGAGAAUAAUACUCCAUAGAUCUUUGAGGCUGGAAUGCGCUUAGAUUGAAAGCUUCGGCGCCUAAGGAUGAGUCUGCGGACUAUCAGGUAGUAGUCAGGGUAAAGACCUGACUAGCCUACGACGGAUACGGGUUGUGAGAGCAAUAACCCGGAGAUGAUAUCUGAGACACGAUAUCAGGCCCUACGGGGCGCAGCAGGCGCGAAAACUUCACAAUGCGCGAAAGCGCGAUGAGGGGAUCCCAAGUGCUUGCACGUAAGUGUAAGCUGUUUUUCUGUCUAAAAAGCAGAGAGAGUAAGGGCUGGGUAAGACGGGUGCCAGCCGCCGCGGUAAUACCUGCAGCUCAAGUGGUGGCCGCUAUUAUUGGGCCUAAAACGUCCGUAGCCGGCUGAGUAAAUGCCUGGGUAAAUCGUGUGGCUUAACCAUACGAAUUCCGGGUAGACUGCUCAGCUUGGGACCGGAAGAAGUUAGAGGUACUCCUGGGGUAGGGGUGAAAUCCUGUAAUCCUGGGGGGACCACCAGUGGCGAAGGCGUCUAACUAGGACGGGUCUGACGGUGAGGGACGAAGCCCUGGGGCGCAAACCGGAUUAGAUACCCGGGUAGUCCAGGGUGUAAACGCUGCUUGCUUGAUGUUAGCUGGG